RNAcentral lists this unclassified non-coding RNA (353 nucleotides) under soil metagenome. RNAcentral describes it as "partial contains 5.8S ribosomal RNA, internal transcribed spacer 2, and large subunit ribosomal RNA". The stretch from base 1 to 120 matches the Rfam family "5.8S ribosomal RNA", at positions 35 to 154 of the family's 154-position model. The record is from RNAcentral.
GAUGAAGAACGCAGCGAAAUGCGAUAAGUAAUGUGAAUUGCAGAAUUCAGUGAAUCAUCGAAUCUUUGAACGCACAUUGCGCCCGCCAGUAUUCUGGCGGGCAUGCCUGUUCGAGCGUCAUUACAACCCUCAGGCCCCCGGGCCUGGCGUUGGGGAUCGGCGGAAGCCCCCUGCGGGCACAACGCCGUCCCCCAAAUACAGUGGCGGUCCCGCCGCAGCUUCCAUUGCGUAGUAGCUAACACCUCGCAACUGGAGAGCGGCUCGGCCACGCCGUAAAACACCCAACUUCUGAAUGUUGACCUCGAAUCAGGUAGGAAUACCCGCUGAACUUAAGCAUAUCAAUAAGCGGAGGA